UGCGUAGGCGGGCUAAUAAGUCAGUGGUGAAAUCUUCCGGCUCAACCGGGAACCUGCCAUUGAUACUGUUAGUCUUGAGUUCGGCUGAGGUAGGCGGAAUGUGUAAUGUAGCGGUGAAAUGCUUAGAUAUUACACAGAACACCAAUUGCGUAGGCAGCUUACUAGACCGACACUGACGCUGAGGCACGGAAGCGUGGGGAGCGAACAGGAUUAGAUACCCUGGUAGUCC
Molecule: ribosomal RNA, 229 nt
Filed under: uncultured bacterium
Lineage: Bacteria
Description: partial 16S ribosomal RNA
Rfam family: Bacterial small subunit ribosomal RNA
Source: RNAcentral